AGAGUUUGAUCCUGGCUCAGGAUGAACGCUAGCUACAGGCUUAACACAUGCAAGUCGUGGGGCAGCGGGUACUUAGCUUGCUAAGUAUGCCGGCGACCGGCGCACGGGUGAGUAACGCGUACCGAACCUGCCCAUCACACAGGGAUAGGCUUGCGAAAGCAAGAUUAAUACCUGAUGGUCUCAGUUGUAUGCAUGUAUGAUUGAGUAAAGCCUUCGGGCGGUGAUGGAUGGCGGUGCGUCCCAUUAGGAAGUUGGCGGGGUAACGGCCCACCAAUCCUUCGAUGGGUAGGGGUUCUGAGAGGAAGGUCCCCCACAUUGGAACUGAGAUACGGUCCAAACUCCUACGGGAGGCAGCAGUGAGGAAUAUUGGUCAAUGGGCGAGAGCCUGAACCAGCCAAGUAGCGUGCGGGAUGAAGGCCCUUGUGGUCGUAAACCGCUUUUAUCAGUGAAUAAAGUGCAUCACGUGUGGUGUCAUUGCAGGUAGCUGAAGAAAAAGGACCGGCUAAUUCCGUGCCAGCAGCCGCGGUAAUACGGAAGGUCCGGGCGUUAUCCGGAAUUAUUGGGUUUAAAGGGAGCGCAGGCGGGAGUGUAAGUCAGCUGUUAAAUAUCAGGGCCCAACUCUGUUAUGCAGUUGAAACUAUAUUUCUUGAGUACGCACAGGGAUGGCGGAAUUCAGGGUGUAGCGGUGAAAUGCUUAGAUAUCCUGAAGAACUCCGAUCGCGAAGGCAGCCAUCCGGAGCGUAACUGACGCUGAGGCUCGAAGGUGCGGGUAUCGAACAGGAUUAGAUACCCUGGUAGUCCGCACGGUAAACGAUGAAUACUCGCAGUUCGGCCGUUUAGGUCGAGUUGUCCAGCGAAAGCGUUAAGUAUUCCACCUGGGGAAUACGCCGGCAACGGUGAAACUCAAAGGAAUUGACGGGGGCCCGCACAAGCGGAGGAACAUGUGGGUUUAAUUCGAUGAUACGCGAGGAACCUUACCCGGGCUUGAA
Molecule: ribosomal RNA, 989 nt
Filed under: uncultured Prevotellaceae bacterium
Lineage: Bacteria; Pseudomonadati; Bacteroidota; Bacteroidia; Bacteroidales; Prevotellaceae
Description: bacterial SSU rRNA
Rfam family: Bacterial small subunit ribosomal RNA
Source: RNAcentral